AGGGGUUCGCUGGAUCUUGGGCUGUGUCCCCAGUGCCCUGUGCUCCCGGACCUGUGCUGUUGGAAUCGCGGUCCCAGCUGCACAGCUCCCU
Molecule: microRNA precursor, 91 nt
Filed under: Canis lupus familiaris (dog)
Lineage: Eukaryota; Metazoa; Chordata; Mammalia; Carnivora; Canidae
Also listed under: 1 other name
Description: mir-8799 microRNA precursor family
Rfam family: mir-8799 microRNA precursor family
Source: Rfam by way of RNAcentral